GUAGUUAGCCGGUGCUUCUUCUGCGAGUAACGUCACAGAUGUAAGGUAUUAACUUACACCCUUUCCUCCUCGCUGAAAGUGCUUUACAACCCGAAGGCCUUCUUCACACACGCGGCAUGGCUGCAUCAGGGUUUCCCCCAUUGUGCAAUAUUCCCCACUGCUGCCUCCCGUAGGAGUCUGGGCCGUGUCUCAGUCCCAGUGUGGCUGAUCAUCCUCUCAGACCAGCUAGGGAUCGUCGCCUAGGUGAGCCUUUAACCUCACCUACUAGCUAAUCCCACCUGGGCUUAUCCAUCAGCUCAAGGCCCGAAGGUCCCCUGCUUUCCCCCGUAGGGCGUAUGCGGUAUUAGCAGUCGUUUCCAACUGUUAUCCCCCACAAAUGGGCAAAUUCCCAGGCAUUACUCACCCGUCCGCCGCUCGUCAUCUUCAAAAGCAAGCUUUUGAAAUGUUACCGCUCGACUUGCAUGUGUUAGGCCUGCCGCCAGCGUUCAAUCUGAGCCAGGAUCAAACUCUGA
RNAcentral lists this ribosomal RNA (512 nucleotides) under uncultured bacterium. RNAcentral describes it as "partial 16S ribosomal RNA". The record is from RNAcentral.